GGCCGCGGGAAUGCGAUUCAGGCGUAACACAUGCAAGUCGAACGGCAGCACGGACUUCGGUCUGGUGGCGAGUGGCGAACGGGUGAGUAAUGUAUCGGAACGUGCCUAGUAGCGGGGGAUAACUACUCGAAAGAGUAGCUAAUACCGCAUACGCCCUACGGGGGAAAGGGGGGGAUCGCAAGACCUCUCACUAUUGGAGCGGCCGAUAUCGGAUUAGCUAGUUGGUGAGGUAAAGGCUCACCAAGGCGACGAUCCGUAGCUGGUUUGAGAGGACGACCAGCCACACUGGGACUGAGACACGGCCCAGACUCCUACGGGAGGCAGCAGUGGGGAAUUUUGGACAAUGGGGGCAACCCUGAUCCAUCCAAGGCGCGUGUGCGAUGAAGGCCUUCGGG
RNAcentral lists this ribosomal RNA (395 nucleotides) under uncultured bacterium. RNAcentral describes it as "bacterial SSU rRNA". It matches the Rfam family "Bacterial small subunit ribosomal RNA", at positions 39 to 422 of the family's 1533-position model. The record is from RNAcentral.